GGGGCUGUAGCUCAGUGGGAGAGCACCUGGUUUGCAACCAGGGGGUCGCGAGUUCAAUCCUCGCCAGCUCCACCA
Molecule: transfer RNA, 75 nt
Filed under: Chloroflexota bacterium
Lineage: Bacteria; Bacillati; Chloroflexota
Also listed under: 2 other names
Description: Chloroflexi bacterium tRNA-Ala
Rfam family: tRNA
About the family: Transfer RNA (tRNA) molecules are approximately 80 nucleotides in length.
Source: RNAcentral